This 16670-nucleotide long non-coding RNA is filed under the name Mytilus galloprovincialis (Mediterranean mussel). The record is from RNAcentral. Lineage: Eukaryota; Metazoa; Mollusca; Bivalvia; Mytilida; Mytilidae.
AUUUAAUUCAUUGUUCAUUCAGCAUUGGAAUUAUUGUCAAGUGAUAUACAGUUUUCUUAAUUCAGUGGAUCUAUUUUUACAUCCAUUUAAUUCAUUGGGAUUUAUUGUGAAAAAGUGAUGGAUUUACUCCAGAAAUAAGUUCUUCCAAGGAUUUUACAAGUAAGUAAAAUAUGAUAUUUCUUUGCUAUUGUAUCAAUACAGCUUAAGGAUAAAAAUCAAUUGUUCUACACCUGAUGUCUUGUGAUUCAUGUCCUUGUAACAGCUUGACUUGUAAAGAGUCUUUAAUACCAGCACCGAAUAAAAGAAUAAAACAUGUUACCCGUCUAGGAUCAGUUCAGAAUAAAUCACUUGUAAGAUAUUAACUAUGUGAGAAGGGAAUAUUGUCCUCAAAAUGAAUACUCGUAAUCUUCUAUGAAUGCAUUCUGUUCACUUAUAAAAUAUAAUAUAAAUAAACAGGAUUUAUGUUUACAUUAACAAUGUAGUGAAGACAUAAAAGGGGUGAAGUAUUACUUUUGGGGAAAAGUCUGAAAGUCCUUUGAAUUUUAAUUUGUGUACAGCUGCUGACCACCUCCGGGUAUGAGAAAACCAAUUGGUGGCAUUGGGCUGUUGUCUGCUCUUGGGUCACAUUUUUGUCGAGCCUGCGACUUUUGUUGCAGAAAGCUCGACAUAGGGAUAGUGAUCCGGCAGCGGCUAUGGCGGCGGCGUAAGCUCACUUCUUAAAAGCUUUAUAUUUUAGAAGGUGGAAGACCUGGAUGCUUCAUACUUUGUAUAUAGAUGCUUCAUGUUACGAAGUUUCCGUCAGUCACAUGUCCAAAGUUCAAAUUUUUUGUAAUGUUGAAUUCUCUCUUAUUAUAAGUAAUAGGAUAACUAUAUUUGAUAUGUGCGUACCUUGCAAGGUCCUCGUGUCUGUCAAACAGUUUUCACUUGACCUCGACCUCAUUUCAUGGAUCAGUGAACAAGGUUAAUUUUUGAUGGUCAAGUCCAUAUCUCAGAUACUAUAAGCAAUAGGGCUAGUAUAUUCAGUGUAUGGAAGGACUGUAAGGUGUACAUGUACAUGCAACUGGCAGGUGUCAUCUGACCUUGACCUCAUUUUCAUGGUUCAGUGGUUAUAGUUAAGUUUUUGUGUUUUGGUCUGUUUUUCUCAUACCAUAUGCAAUAGGUCUACUAUAUUUGUUGUAUGGAAUGAUUGUUAAGUGUACAUGUCUAGCGGGCAGAUGUCAUGUGCAGGGGUUUCAUUAUCUUUCAUGUUGACCGGUACAUUCCUAUUUGUAGGUGGUACUUUUCAAUGUAUUCAAUGAACAUCUUAUAUAAAAAUUCCUGAAUUCAGGCGGUACUUAUCAGUAGCAUAGGAGGGUAAAAGUACUGGGUACCGCCUCUAAUGAAUGGCCUGCAUGUGACCUUGACCUCAUUUUCAUGGUUCAGUGGUCAAAGUUAAGUUUUUGAGUUUCGGUCUUUUUAUCUAAUGCUAUAUGCCAUAGGUCAACUAUAUUUGGUGUAUGGAAAUAUUUUAUGAUCUUUAUGUCAGUCGAGCAGGUUUUAUUUAACCGUGACCUCAUUUUCACGGUUCAUUGCACAGUGUUAAGUUUUUGUGUUUUGGUCUAUUUUUCUUAAACUAUAAGUAAUGUGUCAACUAUAUAUGUUGUAUAGAAGCAUUGUUAGCUGUACCUGUCUGCCUGGCAUAGUUCAUCUGACCGUGACCUCUUUUUCAAGGUUCAUUGGUCUUUGUUUAGUUAUCUUGGUUAAUGUUAAGUUAAUGUGACAGUUGUAAUAAAGCUUAGCUUUAUACUUAGGACUAUCAACAUAAUAUUAAUGAUUAGUAUAGAAGGCGAGACAUUUCAGCGUGUGCACUCUUUUUUUUGUCUCUUUGACAUAUUCCUCAUUCUCAAUUUUAUAAUCAAGUAGUUAUCUUUAUUUUAAUAUCUCAACCAAAUUGUUGAUCGAGAGACAUUUAAAUGAAAAAAUAUGAUCAGUGUAAUGGCUGAGUAUAACAAUAUUUUUGUAGCUUAAUUAGUCUGUUUGGCUGAAUAUCUUUAUGUCUUUUAUACAAUCCUCUUAAACUUUGGUUAAAAUCCUGCUUACCACCUGGCAUAAACACAUGUAAUUACGCUGACUGCAGGUCAAAAGUGAUAGUACAUGUAUCUUCAGGGUUAAAAAAAUAGUUAAUGUUUUCUUGCACUUCAUUAAUAAACCUAAUCACCUCAACAUACUUGAUAACACUAGCAGACUGGGCGGUAGUUUGGUGUGCAUGUGCAAAGGUCAGUUUACACUACAAUAUUAUGAAUAAAAGAAGAUGUGAAUGUAUGUCAGGGAAACAAAAGCGAUCAAAACCAUGAAGCUAUUUGAAAAUAUGUCAAAUACAAUGUAUGGUUACAGUGCCAUAUUGUUAAACAAAAACAUGAAACAAAAAACAUGAAAAAGACUUGCUCCUAUCCAACUUAUCAUUUAUUAAUGCAUACAAAUGUUCAGUUAUCUUAAAGCAGUCUUUAAAACUGUAUAUAAGAAUAAUAUGUUAAUCACAGAUGUUGUACAAGUAAUAUUGAUGCCUUAAAACAAAUGCAUCCAUGCAUGUAAUUGUAUAUUAUUGAUUGUGAUGUGCAUACAUGUUAAAGUUAUGGGGUAACUCUUAGUAAUUAUAAGAAAGUUUUACGCUAUCGUGUGUUUGUUUUAAAGAAGUGCACAAAUGCAAACAAACCCAUUUUAUAUAAAAUGAAUACUUUAAUCAAUUGAUAGUAGUCUAGAAGGUAACCUAUUAAGAUAUUAAAUAUUAGUAGUAUUUACUCUUAGAUGACAAGUGUGGGAGUCUUAUUCAGACUGUGUAGACCAUACCACUAGGACAAAUAUUUGUCUCUAAGAAAGGAGUUACUAUACCACUAGCUUGGACAAUAAUUUGUCACCAAGGAGGAAGUUACAUUACAAGUAGCCAUCAAUCGAUUUACAGCUUAUAAUGAGACCCUUUUUCAGAACCAAUAAAAAUUCCCCCAAAAAACUUUUUAUUAUAGAACGCUGAAGUAUGAUCGAUUUAAUGUAACAUGAACUUUAUAUUCGAAAGUGAUCUACAAAAAAGACAGAGCAACAACACCCUCUAUCCAGCAGACAGAACUCAAAACACUAUAGCACUAUGUCGAUACUUAUACUACAUGUAAGGGCAAUCAGGGUUGACAUUUGCAGUACGUAAGAGGCAAGAAAUAAAUAAUUGAGUACCUUUAAAUCACGAAUAAUAAUCGUAAUUAGGCAGUAAAAAAAUAUCCCAAUUUGAUAGGCACCUUGGUGUCAUAACGAUUUUUCAAAUCAUAAACAUUAUCAAAUACAACAUUAACCAACAAUACAAGUAUAUAUCGACUAAGAUCAACACAUGAAUGUAUCCAGAUACACCAUAAUAACAUAUAGUUUCAAACACUUUAUUAAUAUGUCAUACUAUGUGUUAUACCAUUAUAUAAAAGACACUAGAAACUGAAAUAUUAACUGAUAACUGACCAUACUGUAACCAAGCAUAUUUCGAAAGUAGGUCUAAACAAUAUCCAUCCUAUCUACAACUUCAUAGACUCUCAUCAAUAAUCGACUGAGCAAUAUGACCUCCAAAGAUACACAUAGUUGUGUAGCUUUGAUCACUCACCAACAAAAGCGUACUGAAUAUACCUACACAAACACACAGCUCAAAGUAAAUUAAUGUGAAAUAUUGUUUGUGAUGAGAAUCAAUUAUGACAUCUUAAUAUUAAUACAUUAUACAUGAGUUCCAUUGUAAAUACAAUAUUGAAAUACGUGUAACCACCUAAUCAAUUUAGGUAACUGCUCAUUAGCUUCUCGUUGACAAGAUGGAAAAAAAUAAAUGAUCCUCUCUACAUUCAGGCCACUACCAUCAUUAAUUUCCUGAGUAAUUUGUAGCGAAAACUAUAAACUAAUCAUACUAGCAUAGCGAGUCUCACGACAAUACAAGUAGACUGAGUAUCUGAUGAGCUAAUAAGUUUAUAUAUGAAUAGUGAAUUAAAGAUUAGACCAAUUAAGUUACACUAAAAAAAUCUAUUAUACAUACAAUAUACUCACAGGCCGUAACACAUCAUUAGAUGAAAGAGAAAAAUAUUUUUCUACAUGCAUUAACAAAUGCCAAGAAAUAGGACAUGUACACUAUAUCUUAGAAUCACCUUCCCAUUUACAUGUGUAAUAUAGAUGUAUGUGAUACUUACCCUAUUUGCUUAUGAUCAAGGUAUAUAUUUCUGAGAAAUAAUGCUAAGGUUACAAGUGCAUACAAUGGACCCAUUCAACAGAUCAAUGUGGAGCAUGACAAUUGCAACCCGAGGAUCAGAGGUGAAUAUCUUCAUUUGACCAAAUGCAUCGAUAGAUCCCCAAAUGUCAACGCACAAAUCAGCAAUUAGAGUAUGUCAAUAUAGCAAAUCAUCAAUUCACACCUAUGAUCAAAAUAUUAGAAACUAAUAUAUGAUUUACGACUUGACUGAUAGUAACUACGGAACUUGUGCGAAUCAUAACACUGAUUAAUAAAUCAAAUCUAUUUGUUCAUAAUUGUUAGACCUGAAUACACUCAUAUGUUUUCCUGUCGACUUUUCAUAUGUAAUAAUCCUAAAGCUUUAAAUGAUCAUUACACCCCGACGACACGAACACACACACACACCCUUCUGUUAGAGUUUAAUCUACAUAAUCCCAGUACUUAUUGAGAGUCACUAAUUUCUAUAGCUCAACAACAUGUACACGCUCUAACGUCUCUUGAAAAAUAUUACGGCUCUAAAUUUACAAACACAAAUAGGAUUAGACUACUCUCGAACAUGCCACUCUAUCGAAUAUAGCUAUUUUUAUCAUACUAUUCAUCCUGUUUAGUGUACGAUCCAGCAUGAGCAUCCCAGUAUACAGACAUUAUACUUAUAAUUUGCAAGAUGACUUAAUUCUGCCUUCCUCUCCAUGCAUAAAAUAGAGUUCGCAUCUACACUACACCACUAUAUUCAAUUUUGUAUUUCACUCUCUAUAUCGAACUAUGAUUUUAAUUGUAAUUCAUAUAAUGUCUCUUGUGUUUCUUAGGCCUCUGAGUCAUCUAGCAGAGAUGCUUAAAUGAAAACUCAGAAAUAGCUACGUCAUAUCGAAGAUUACAAAUCCCUUAACUAUUGGUUUCUGUUAUGAGAGUGCACUGAUAAGUUAUGCCGUCCACAUCAAUCUUUCAUGAUCUAGUUCGAAGUCUCUGAUAUUAUAUUUGAUAGAUACAACUGAUCCUAGAUUAUCUGUACCCGCAUUGACGACAUAUUAUCACAUUUAUUAUUCUUUGUUUUUCUCUCCACCUGAGCAUCCAUACAUAAAAUCAUAUACUAUUAAUGGACCUUUAUAUCCUAUUCAUACUAUGCAAAAUUUUUUUCAAGUUAGAGGAAUACUUCUGUAUCUUCACAGAUUACUCAUUUACACUUAGUAGUCCACAAAGGAUCUUUCAGUGUGUUUGGCUCAAUUUCUUAGAUUUGAGCAUUCGAUUUUGAUUCGAAAUUAUAACAUACCGAGACAUAAGAGCUGAAUCUAACACCAAUAGCAAAGAAUCAAAUAUCAGUCAUUGAGCUUUACUUGUCUGAAACGUUAAGAAUACAUUCCUCAUAUUAUUGUACACUAUCUAUGCGUUCAACAUAUUUUUUACAAAAAAUACCCCUAAAAUGUAAUAUAUCUUAUCUUAAACAUUGCCAUUAGUUUGAACAAAACAUAUUGACACAACUCAUUUAGAGUUUAAAUAGCUGCAUAAUAUGAUCAAGUAUACCAGAAAAAUUAUCUCUCUAAUGCUGAGAUUAACAAAUGAUAUAGAAAAUAUACCCUCCUAUUCAAUUGACUAUCAUUAAAAUGACAUUGACAUCUUUCUGCAAGGAAAUUAUACAAUACUUACAUCUAACUAUUCCGUUAGUGUUUAAAGCUUCUAUUACAAAUAUUAUAAUACUACAACUUUACUAAUUUGAUAGAAAACUCAAUUCAUAUAUUAUUAUUUUUGUACAAACUUUGACAGAAGCUCAGAGUUAACUUAUCCAUUAAAGACUAGAAUAAUCCUUUCAAUAAUGAGAAGAUUACUUUGUAGAAAAAUAAUACAUACCAAUUAUAUAUCAUUUUACGUAACUUUUAAACCUCUUCUAAAAGAGGACAAUAUAGAUUAUUUCACUUUGCUCAGAAUUAUUAUACGUCAUUUUUAUUUGCUUAAUAUUUAUAUAGUAGUGGCUCUCAUAUAUUAACAUCUUUUCAUAGAGACUUUUUUUUCACACUUUUUUAUAACAUAUUAUAUGGAUUCAUGUAUCGUCAUACUCUAUAUUGGAUUCAUGUAUAAGUAUAGAUUUAGUCGAUAGAAAAUAAGUAUCUUCCAGUAUCAUACAUCAACACUUAAGUUUCUCUUGUCUCAGUCUUCAUAUCACCUAUAUCUAUUUCUUGCUAGUUAAUAUAUGUUUGCUUAUAUCAUUAUUAAUUCAAUUAAUUACAAAUACCUGAUUUUUAUACGCACAACGCGCAUGGACAGAUAGUUACUCCUUAUAAAACUCUAAAGAUAAUAUACAAUCUACGAACUAUCACUACUUGAUUUAUUUUCUCUCAAAUAUUUAAUUAUAGAAGCAUGGUAAGCUCUAACACAAGAGUAGGACUGAAGUACAGCUUCGAGUCCUUAAUACUUUUACUAUUUUAUAUAUUUUUUAAAUACUAUCUACUGGCAAUUAAUUAACAUGAUGUACUGUUUCUUGUAGUAGGGUUCGCGUUUCAUCUUCUUAGUUUUGCUUUCUAUAGUAAAAUGUUUAGUGCGAUAGUUACUCGAUAGUCACUUAAUAUUAAGUGUAUAUAGUUUUUUCUGAUAACUUCUUUAUGUAUAUGAACUAUAGAACAUGUCAUGAUAACGGUAUGCAGCAAUUCUUAGGGGAUUCCAUAUAAGACAAUGCAUUUCAACACGAACACAUAGGAACUAUACAAGUGUAUUAAUUUAAAAAAUAGAAGAUACAUUACCUACUGUAACAUAUCAAUUAUAAACUGUGAGAGUAUAGAUAUGAACGCACAAUACGAACGAUACAUCCACUUUGCCAAAGAAAUCAUAAGAGACACCGAAUACCCACAGCCAUCUCGUCAUAAAAUUCAUGUUAUGCCACAUCGCGCGAGUAUCACUUUACUCUGUCGAUGAUUGUCUAAUGACUUUCUCAUAUUUAAAUAUAUCUGGUAUGUAAAACCUCUUACAAACUCUCAUUGUUUUCAAAUAUAGCAAACAAAUUAAAUAUAGAUCAAGUUUUUCUCAUGUCAUUACACAAUAGAGCUCUAAAUAUAAACAUCGAAAAUGCAGAUAGACAUGAGAUCUUAUAGAGUGACACUAUAGUAAAUAUUCUUGGCGCAAUACUCAUUACUGCAUCUAUAUCCGAAUACUUUUCGAGUGUAUGAUAUAACCAAUACAAUAGACAUCACGUUCGAGACGUUUUCUUAGUUAUAUCAUCAAGUCCAGUAUCUCUCUUCAUCACACGGAUCAACACCACUAAACCAAUAGUAAUCAAAGACAAAUUAGUCGAUACAAGAUUAGUUUUAAAUUAAUUAUCUAUCUAGUUAUAUAGUUCACUUUAAGAAAUUGAUAUUAUCUGUUAGAAGCCUCAUCCCUUGGUAACAAGACAGCUUCAAUACUACAUAGUAUUAUACUCAGACUACAAACCGAGAAAUAUUUAUUUAAUGAUCUAUAACACCUAGUAUACACGAUCAAUCGUAAGCAGUACACUUUGUGGUUAGAAACAAGACAAAGAAGCACAUCAUUACCAUCAACUAGGAGAAUCUUAGAAAGAUUUAUUCGAUGAUAAAAAAUGUUGUACAUUUUUUGAUAGUGUUGACAUCUUUUGAAAUCUUACGUAAUCAAAAGACUAGGGACAAAAGUGUUCAACUUCACUAAGGGAACCUUUCUAUGAGCCUUGUUAAUGCAAUAUCUCUGAAAAAUCAUAUAUCAAAAAUGCAUGAAAAGGUAAAAAUAAGAAGAGAACGACUUUUACUCCAAGACUUCAACAAUGAUAACAAGCCAUCUUGUACAAAACACACAAUGUCUUUGAAGCGCCAAAUUGUCUGAUUAUUAGAUUAUUAAAGUUUUCUCCCUGGUUACAUUGACAUGUUGAAAAAAAGCCUUUUAACAAUUCAAUGUAAUUUAAACAAUUCUCAUAACAAAAUAACGACAACAAUCCAGUUCACUAAAGUAUUUUAGUUAUAUCUCGAGAGAUAUAAGUUUCAUUGCUGUUUUUAAACUGUAUUAUCACAGCGUCUUAACAAAUUCCAUGUCGUGCUGAGUUACAAAUCAUAAUACAUCUCACUAAAAAUUGAAAUACUUAUAUAUGAAAACAGUCAUUCACUAUACUAAUGUAGGAUACUGGUCCCAAAUCUAUUCCUAUCAUGAAUGCAACAAGGUAUUAUAACUAAUGCUCUAUAUGACUGCACAAGAAAUACCAACGUUUUUAUAAUUUUUAUAGACCACUUAGAUAUUCAGAAUGCUUAGAUACAAAUAAUAUUCCCUGGUAAAAAAUGAUUAUUGAAGCUGAACUCACUCUUACUAAAUUCGUUCACACAUAAACUUAAAAAUUUUUUCAUUUAAUACUUUUUAUUAUACUCAAAAUCAUGACUAUUCUUGACUUUUAUCUUUUUUGUAAGGAUGAAUACCCCCUAACCUUGUAUAAUUACACCGUGACUUAUAUAUUGAAUUGACAUAUAUAUCGUGAAACAUUUUUUUUAUUUUAUUUACAGAUACAAGAAGAAAUCAAUUUUUAGUCUAUAGUCAAUUAGUUGUUUAAUCUCUAAAGGUGAGUAACGUCUGAUAUCAACACUCACUAAAACAACAUUGAUUACAUAUUACAGACUACCACUACAUGUAAGUAUCAUGAGAGGUUGAGUUCAACCAUUAACAGAUUGUUUAACAUAGCCACCCAUAUAAACCUUCCCCAUGCAUUUAAUGCGUCAUUUUGCAGUUCUAAAAAAGUAAUACUUAUCUAUAUUAUAACAUUAUAAUAAGUCUCGUUUACACAUAGAACUAGAACUUAAAGUUAAAUAGAAACACUAUAACGAUUAAAUCGUCCAAUCCCAUAUUAAUAUAUAGUAUAAAUGGCUCAAUCUCAUGAUAAAUGCGUUACUGUCACUCGUACAAGAACAUUUAGUAUUUAUCCAUACCUGUAAUACACAUUAAUCGAAUUUUAAUAUAGAAUUUCUUCAAAAUAGUUGGAAAAUCUCUGUAAGAAGAUAGCAUGUAAAUGUAUCGACUUGUUUUAAUUUAUUAACAUAGUUUAAUCUAGUGUGAUAUGUUCCACUAAUAACUCAAAGAUUGAAAUAGAAUUAGCCUGUUACAUAUCAUAACGAUCAUAGUACCAAAUCUAACGCUCCUAGGUCAAUACCAUGUUUUAUUCUAGCUACUUGUACCGAUGUAGUUCUAUUGGUAUUUAUGUCUAAGCAUGCUUGUUUUCCUUUAUUUUUUUAGAAUAAAUCAGGUCAUUGCGGUUUUCUAUUUUUGAUUUUUUUUCACAUUUGUCAACCUUGGGGCCUUUUAAGAUUACAAUACAUAAUGGGUUUUGCUCAUUGUUGAAAGUCAAACAUAAUUGAGUAACCAACAGGGGCAGAUCCAGCCAUUUUAAAAAGGGGGGUUUCCAACCCAGGAUAAAGGGAGAUUCCAACUACAAUGAUUGUCCAAAUAAAAGGAGGGGUUCCAACCCUAGGAACCCCUCUGACUUCUUUAAAUGCUUCAAAACUAUCAUGCACAAUUUGGUUUCCUACUAAAUGGGAGAAGGUGUCUAUAGCUAUAUGGUAAAUUACAUCCAUCAAAACUUACUUUAAAACCAUGAAUGAGCUGGAUUCUCAGAAGAAGAAAAAACCACAAUGUGGGACCACUAUUUUAUGGGUUGAAACAUUCUUUGUUUAAUUAUUGUAGUAGUAUAUAUGAGGAUUAUGAACUUGCUCAUUUGGGUUCUAUUUUAUAUUCCAGAACAGAAACAUUAUACAUGUUUUUACAUAAAAAAAAAAUAAUGGAAAGAGAAUAAAUUUUUGAUCAAAAGUGAAAUACAACUGUUCUAUUUUUAUGCUCAUUCAGUUAUAAUAUGAAAAAGAUAUCUAAAUAUCAGCAGACCUUCCUGGCCUUGUGUCGUCUUAUGUGUGGGUGGUCUGGUCAAAAUUAAGGACCUAGUAAGUGCAUGUGUCAUGAAAAAAGUAUUGAAAAAAUAAGAAUAGAAGACCCUUUCUAUUAGGAGAUGUAUCCACUUAACAUGUUAAAAUACUAAUUACAUGUAGAUGUUAGACCUAUGAGAUUUGACCAAAAUGUAAUGUUGACGUUUUAGAUAUUUGUGUAAUUGGGUUGCUGUCUCAUUGAUGUAAUUCCACAUUUCUUUUUAUUCUGAUUUAAUUUGAACAAAGAUUUGUGUCUUAAGCUAAUAUUGUUGUAAAUUUGUACAUGUAUGCAUGUACCCCCUACAUGUACAAUUUGUAAAGAAAUGUGGUCACUGUCAGUCCUGCAAAUGAGCUUGAUACAUUCUCUUUCAGAAUUCUUAUACUUACAAAUCUCAUUUUUAUUGCACCAGCUUUAGUGAGACUAUUGAACUUUUGAAGAACAUCUAUAGAAGGGUUCAUAUGAUAAGAAUACAUGAAAUUCUGAAACUGAUAUAAAAUGUUUUGAAUAGUACAUACUUUUCACCCUAGUCAUUAAAGAUAUAAUUAUGUACAUGAGAAACUGUGUACAUGUUUUUGCAGCAAAUACAGCAAGAUUUCUUUAUUACAUAUAUAAUAAUUAGCAUAUAUGUCAUGUAUGUUUUGAUCAUAUAUUAAUUCUUUUAAUAACUCAGUCUCAAGUUGUUAAAAGUAAAAUAUCUCAUUAAUUUACUGAACAUAUUGAUACCAUAAAUAUGGUGCUAUAAUUUUUGGGUUACAAUACUACAUGAACAUGUAUAUUAAAUCCCAUGGUACUGGUAAAAGACUGAUAAAUAUAUAUAAACAUUAACAUUACAAUGUUUGUAUAUUUGUCUACUUUGUCAAAACACCAAUGUGACCUUGAAUGUAUUGUAAGGUGUGAAAUUGCUAUUUCCCAUCUGCAGUUGCAAUGAAUAUUGAUUUAACAUAAAUAUAUAUAUAUAUAUAUAUAGACUAAACUGGCAAAUGACCAAUUAUUAAUACUAUAUCUAGAUCAAAUGUAGGUUGGUACAUACAUAUGUACAAUCACGAAAUAUUGUCCUACUUAUGAGCUUCAGUUACUUGGAUUUUUAUUUACAAUAAUAGAUUCAUUUAAAUUUAUCAAUUUCAAAGACUGAAGUGGUAAGGGAUAUUGAAUAUAUUUGAGGUGUAUGCAGAUGUUGUAUUAAUUGAGGUUAUCCAAGAAUUAGAUUUGAUAAAUGUAUGGACAACAUUUUCCACCCUAUGCACAACCAGUUGAUAAAAAAACAUGAAUUUUACGAUUUAGUUUGCUAUAUCACACUAUGCUAUUUCCAGGAUUGGUGAUUAAUUUUGAGUCAGAUCCCACUUAAAACUUGAAUUUUUGUUCAAAUAUCAGAAAUAUAAGUAAUAAGGAAUUUAUUUGUUUUUUUAUGCCCCCACCAUAGUGAAGGUGGUAUUAAUAGUUACCAAAGGUACCAGAAUUAUAAUUUAGUAUGCCAUGCACGUUUUGUCUACAUGUACAUAAGACUGAUCAGUGACGCUCAUAUCAAAAUAUUUAUAAAGGCAAACAAAUAGAAAGUUGAAGAGCAUUAGGGUCCAAAAUUCCAAAAAGUUGUGCCAAACAUGGCUAAGAUAAUCUAUGCUUGGUAUAAGAAAAUCCUUAGUUUUUGUCGAGCCUGCAACUUUUGUUGCAGAAAGCUCGACAUAGGGAUAGUGAUCAGGCGGCGGUGGUGUUAGCUUACUUCUUAAAAGCUAUAUAUUUUAGAAGGUGGAAGACCUGGAUGCUUCAUAUUUUGUAUAUAGAUGCCUCAUGUUACGAAGUUUCCGUCAGUCACAUGUCCAUUGUCCUUGACCUCAUUUUCAUGGUUCAGUGACCACUUGAAAAAAAGUUCAGAUUUUUUGCAAUGUUGAAUUCUAGUCUAGUCUAGGUCUAGUAUAUUCAGUGUAUGGAAUGACUGUAAGGUGUACAUGUCCAACUGGCAGUGUCAUCUGACCUUGACCUCAUUUUCAUGGUUCAGUGGUUAUAGUUAAGUUUUUGUGUUUUGGUCUGUUUUCUCAUACUUUAUGUAAUAGGUCUACUAUAUUUGUUGUAUGGAAUGAUUGUAAGGUGUUCAUUUCUAGCGGGAAGGUGUCAUCUGACCUUGACCUCAUUUUCAUGGUUCAGUGGUUAUAGUUAAAUUUUUGUGUUUUGGUCUGUUUUUCUCAUACCAUAUGCAAUAGGUCUACUAUAUUUGUUGUAUGGAAUGAUUGUUAAGUGUACAUGUCUAGCGGGCAGAUGUCAUGUGACCUUGACCUCAUUUUCAUGGUUCAGUGGUCAAAGUUAAGUUUUUGAGUUUUGGUCUUUUUAUCUAAUGCUAUAUGCCAUAGGUCAACUAUAUUUGGUGUAUGGAAAUAUUUUAUGAUCUAUAUGUCAGUCGUGCAGGUUUUAUUUGACCUUGACCUGGUUUUCAAGGUUCAUUGCUCAGUGUUAAGUUUUUGUGUUUUGGUCUUUUUUCUUAAACUAUAAGCAAUAGGUCAACUAUAUUUGUUGUAUGGAAGCAUUGUUAGCUGUACAUGUCUGCCUGACAUAUGGUUCAACUGACCUUGACCUAAUUUUCAUGGUUCAUGUUAAGUCUGUGACAGUCGUAAUAAAGCUUUAGAUUUAGGAGUAUCAACAUAAUAUCAAUGAUUAGUAAAGAAGGCGAGACAUUUCCGUGUGUGCACUCUUGUUCUAAAAAUUCAAAGUUUUGUAAACAGGAAAUUUAUAAAAAUUACCACAUAAUUCAUAUUCAUGUCAACACCGAAGUGUAUUAAGUUUUACCCUUGUCUGUAUGUACAUCUCUAACCUAAUUUGGUUUCCGUUCUCUAACAUUAGCUUUCCUCAACCAAUUCUUAUGGAACUUAUACACAAUGCUUAUAACCACAACACACAGAUCAAGUUUAAAUCACGGUGGCGUCACUUUUACUGUUCUAGAGUUAUGUCCCUUUUUGACGUUACAUGCAAGUGGCAGAAUCACCUGUGUCCCAUGGACACAUUUCCCAUUAAUGCAUGUAGAUGUUGGAAUGUAGAAUUUGUAAAUUUCUAGAUGUAAGGGCAGUCUAUACCAAAAUCUUUUUAACUACAAUGUACUAGUCUGGAGACCAAUAUUCCAACAUUUUUCUUAUGAGUGUAAACAUAGCUGUUCAAAUACUUAAUUGCCCAAGUAAAAUUGUUUUAGUCUUGAUAGGACGUGAAACUAGUGGCUUAUGGUACAGACUUAAGAUUUUUAAUACUUCUUAUAAAAUUUGCAGUUACUGUACUUGAACAUUUUUAAGUAGCUGAUAAACAUGAGGAAGUGUAAAAAAGUCUAAAAAGCAAGCCUAAUAUAUGCAAUUUUAUAAGCUUUGGCAUUUUUCAUUUUCAUGGCCCUUCACUUUUAGUCAUACAUGUAGUUCAUUGACUUUGAAUGUUAUGCAUAGUUUAAUUGUUGCUGUAAAGGUGGAGAUGAAUUAUAUAUACACUACAGCUACAUGUACAUGUAAACCCCUUAAGAUACUGUUGAAAAUUUAUAAACAACUUUCUUCAUAAACCAUUCAAAAUAUUAUUUAUUUAUAUUUAUUACUGAUGAUCAUAAUAUGCUAUUAAUUUUGGAGAACAUUUGUAUUAAUAAUUUAAUAUCUAAUGACGCAUAUUUAGAUAGGCUGAUAGUAUAUGACAUGGCUAUUUUCCUUCUUCAUCUGUCCCACAUGUAUUUCUCAGAAAUAAUUGCUUAAUAAUUACUAGCUUAUAAUUUAUUGAUAAUAUACAAUGUAUAUAAAUUUGGUAAGAGGUUAGAUUUUCUUCUCUUAGUUCAUUUACAGUAUGAGUGUUUGCAUUUGAUUCAAAAUUUUGAAGGGCCUCUGUGGCCAAGUGAUAUAAGUAAAAUGUAUGAUGUACAUGUAGUAAUUACUACUUUAAUCACUAGGCAGUCAAUACUGAGGUAAUGAGUUGGAAGGAACCCUGUCGUGCAAGUGCACUCGAUUCCAAUCUCAAUUGACUAGGAUUGUCUUUAUUGCUUUUGAAGGUCGGUGAUUUUCUCUGGGCACUCUGGCUUCCUUCGCCAAUAAAAACUGGUUAUGUGAAAAAGCCCAAAAGAGGCGCUUUAAAGUGGCGUUAAAAACACAAAAAUCAAAUCAAUCAAAAAUUUUGACCCAGUUGUAAUUUGUUACAUUUAUAUACAUGAUAUAUGUCAAAAUGUGGGGUUUUUUUUAAAUUGGGUUAAGUAACUUUCAGUUUUGCGGUUCAGGCAUUAUGAAUAUAGUCCAUCAUUGAUUUGGAAAAUCUGUAGAUUACAUGUGAUAAUUUGAGAAAGUUUGACCUAAUUCCUAUCUAAAAUGUGGGUCAAUAAUAGUUUUGGCAAUUCUAACUUUUCCCAUUCAGGAGAAUUGGUCCUUAAAUCUGUUUAGAUAAGGAAGAAACCAAUUACAUGUAUUAGUAUUAACAAAUCUUUGAAUAAAGAAUCGUUUAAAAGGCAAAAUUAGGGUUUAUCAACACCGCAUAUUAUUACGCGUAUUAUUACGUAACAAACUACUGAAGUUGUGUUGUCUUUGAUUUGUUCUAUAGUACAGCAUAUUAACAAUACACUUGCUUAAAUCGAUCAUGAUUUGCCUAUUGAUAUUUUGGUCUAGCCAAUGUUUUACAAAUGAUUUGUUGUGAUGUAUUUUACAACUGCCUCUAUCUUAGAGACUAUCGAUUACAAACAGAAUUACAUAAUCAAAUAUUAUUCACCAAUAUUAUUUCAUGUGUAUCAUGUGCUUGAUGACCUUUUACUAAUGCUCAAUAAUUCAUAGUUCCUUUUCUCUUUUUGUAGAUACACAGAUGAACUCAGAAGUCAUGAAAGUGAAGAAAUUUUAACUUUGUGAUAGAAGGAAUAUGAAUAAAUCAAGGGAAACCAAACAAGCAAAUAAAUCAGAACCAAAUCAACCAAGAAAUAUUCUUUUUAAUGAUCCCAUUUAAACAUGAUUUUUUUAAAGUGUGUAAAAUUAUAAGAUCAGGUUUAUACAUUAUGUUUUUACAGGUACAAAGCACUAUCAAAAGUCUUUCAAGGGGAAAAUAUAGAACUAAAUUAUUACUUUAAUGCAGUGCAUAUUCAAAAAGCUUUGUCCUUACAUAAUAGCAAUUUGCUAAAAAUGUGUAGUAUGGAUUCAUCUCUUCAAACUUGUUAUUAAGUGUUUAAAUGGUUUUGCCCAUUGCUAGUACUUGCUAGUAUUUGUUAGCAUGAAGCAAGUACAGUUAAAAUGUUCUUACCAUCCAGUGAUUGAUUGUAUGUGUCUUGUAACUGGUUCACACAUACUUUAUCAUGAACACAAGUUUAAAAAUUUUGACUUGUAUAUUAAGACUUCCAUCAUUAUGACAUAUUAUAAGAAAUUAGCUCUUGAAUUGUUUUAUUAUACAAUGAUUUAUUUCUUUGUUUUCUGUACUUGUUAUACAUUUUCUAUUGUCACUCCCUUCACCAAUAUCACACUGCUCAGUCGCUUUGUUUCAGCUUCAUCAGCUACAUGUAUUUAUAUCUUUUUUCCUUUAUACAAUGAUUAAAACAAUUUAAUUACUUAUUUAGUGUCAUUAUGAUGGAAGCUGAUAUACAAGACAUACUAUUUUGAAACUUGGGAGUUAUUUGUUCGUGAUAUAUAGUAUAAGAGGGUCAUAAUGGGGGUACCUUUUUGACGAAUAACGGAAAAGGUUCUUGCCAAAUGAUGUUAAUGGUAAUUUUAUAAAAAUAAAAUGUACACUGGCGAAUCACAAUAUGGAUAUUUUGACAAAUCAUGGUAAAAAAAUUACCAAUUUGACGCUAACGGUAGCCGAAAUAACUGUUUGACACCUGACGUUAAAGGGCAUUACUACCCUCGUAUAAGUGGUACCAUUAGUGUUAAGCCAAUCUUAUUUGGAUUGCAGUUGCAUUAGCAUUGGCAUUUUUCUUUUUUUCACAGAGGUAAUUUAGCCCUGUAUCUUCAGUCAUGGGUCUUUGACUUUUAACGUUUUACAUAUUUGACAUGGUUUUUUUUUAAAUGCACAUUUUAACCUAUAUGCAUUAUACAUUAUAUUAUAGUACUAUCAAAAUAACUUAAAAUCAAGACCUAUCUCUGUGUCAACAUUUUUAUUGAAACUACUUUUCUUUAUAACUAGGUGUUCAAAUUACACCUACAUGUAAAUGUACUUCUUGAUGAAACCUACGCCAAUGACUUGAAUUGGAUGGUGUACAUAAAUUUAUUGCACUGCACUUUCUUCAUAGACUAUAGCUAGUAUCAACCUUUUUUACCUCAUUUGAAGAGAUGAAUUCAAAUUGCUACUGAGAAAACACUGGACAAUUAGAAUAUUAAAAGGAAAAAGCUUUUUGAAUAAACAUUUUUUGUACAGUAUUUUUUAUCUCAAGUUAUUGGGCACUGAACAUAUUGCAACAGUCGGUAAACCAAAUCUUGUUUUUUUAACCAUUGAAACUUAAUAAAAGACUUCAAGAUUUACAACAUUACCUUCAAGUAUAAAAUACACAUUGACACACACAUAAUUCUAAUUGUGAAUUGCAACAGAAAAAAAUUCAUGUAGUUUGAUAAAAAUUAGCAAUGGUUUGUUCUCUGUAUUUUAACUAUAUAAUAAA